Molecule: ribosomal RNA, 445 nt
Filed under: uncultured Sphingobacteriales bacterium
Lineage: Bacteria; Pseudomonadati; Bacteroidota; Sphingobacteriia; Sphingobacteriales
Description: bacterial SSU rRNA
Rfam family: Bacterial small subunit ribosomal RNA
Source: RNAcentral
AGCAUGUGGUUUAAUUCGAUGAUACGCGAGGAACCUUACCUGGGCUCAAAUGUAUGUUGACGUAUUCUGAAAGGGAUACUUCUUCGGACAAUAUACAAGGUGCUGCAUGGUUGUCGUCAGCUCGUGCCGUGAGGUGUCGGGUUAAGUCCCAUAACGAGCGCAACCCCUAUCAUUAGUUGCCAUCAGGUCAAGCUGGGGACUCUAAUGAAACUGCCUACGCAAGUAGUGAGGAAGGUGGGGAUGACGUCAAAUCAGCACGGCCCUUACGUCCAGGGCUACACACGUGCUACAAUGGCCGGUACAAAGGGCAGCUACCUGGUGACAGGAUGCUAAUCUCAAAAGCCGGUCUCAGUUCGGAUCGGAGUCUGCAACCCGACUCCGUGAAGCUCGGAAUCGCUAGUAAUCGCGCAUCAGCCAUGGCGCGGUGAAUACGUUCCCGGGCCUU